Labrus mixtus (cuckoo wrasse) is the source of this 785-nucleotide long non-coding RNA. RefSeq lists it as uncharacterized. The transcript has 2 exons. The record is from RefSeq and is a predicted model, not a curated record. NCBI's taxonomy places the organism in Eukaryota, Metazoa, Chordata, Actinopteri, Labriformes, Labridae.
UAAAAGGUCUUUGAAAUGUAACCGGGAAAGCUUGUUUUUUCAUCCCAGUAUGUUUGAAUGUAAUAGUUCAUUAUUACUAGUUGUUAGAAAACUAUUGAAGUUUAUACCAGCCAGCCUACCAGAGAGUUAGGAAGACUUAUCCGCUUAUGAAGCAGGCACAAAGGGCAGAAGUUUAAAAACGCAGUGACGGGUUUGUGUCUUUAAAGGGCCUUGCUCGAACACUCGAAAUUGAAAGCGACUUGAGGAGAGUUAAAUUAUAUUACAAGUGUGCAGCUCAGAAGAUGUAAAACUGGAGGUAGUGGAAAGACAAAGAUUGCUGCAAAACAGAAGGGAGAGUCGGGAUCUGAGAAGACACGAGUGAGUUCAGAGGAAAAAGCAGACAGAAAAUGUUAAACUAGAUUCAGGUUGACACAAUGACAGGACACAUUUUAUAUAAAGAAAUCAGUGUAAUAACUUUGUAACAUAACAAGUCAGACAUUUUUGUUUCUUAAUGAGUUGUUGUUCAGAGAUGUUGUAAUUUGAACUGACUAGUAUUGAUUAUUGAUUAAACAUAAUUUGCUCAGUAACAGUACUUUCAAAUAGACAACUAUUAAUUAAGAUGAUCACAAGCAUCUAUCUGGAAAUAUUUAAUAUUUGUUCUUAUUCUACAUUUUAGAGCCAACGACAAACCGCAGCAAAAAGGGACAGAUAAACUACAACAACCAAAACAAGAAGAUGUUAAUGAGAACACAUCAACAGUAUAUGACAACACAUCAAUGGUAUAUGAGAAUAUAUCAACGGUAUAU